GUAGUCCUGGCAGUAAACGGUGCACGUUUGGUGUGGGAGGAUUCGACCCCUUCCGCGCCGGAGCUAACGCGUUAAACGUGCCGCCUGGGGAGUACGGUCGCAAGAUUAAAACUCAAAGAAAUUGACGGGGGCCCGCACAAGCGGUGGAGUAUGUGGCUUAAUUCGAUGCAACGCGAAGAACCUUACCAGGCCUUGACAUGCAUUUCUAAGUUGGUGAAAGCCAGCGAGUCUCGAAAGAGACAACUUGCACAGGUGCUGCAUGGCUGUCGUCAGCUCGUGUCGUGAGAUGUUGGGUUAAG
RNAcentral lists this ribosomal RNA (299 nucleotides) under uncultured bacterium. RNAcentral's name for it is "partial 16S ribosomal RNA". It matches the Rfam family "Bacterial small subunit ribosomal RNA", at positions 790 to 1084 of the family's 1533-position model. The record is from RNAcentral.